UACGAAGGCCCCGAGCGUUAUCCGGAUUUAUUGGGCGUAAAGAGUGCGCAGGUGGUCUUGCACGUCUGUUGUUAAAUGUCUCAGCUUAACUGGGUCACCGCAAUGGAUACGACAAGACUAGAGCAUGUAAGAGGUGACUAGAAUUCACGGUGUAGGGGUGAAAUCCGUUGAUAUCGUGGAGAACACCAAAGGCGAAGGCAGGUCACUGGUACAUUGCUGACACUCAGGCACGAAAGCGUGGGGAGCAAAAAGG
This 253-nucleotide ribosomal RNA is filed under the name uncultured bacterium. RNAcentral describes it as "partial 16S ribosomal RNA". It matches the Rfam family "Bacterial small subunit ribosomal RNA", at positions 524 to 776 of the family's 1533-position model. The record is from RNAcentral.